UCGAUGGCGGACGGGUGAGUAAUGUCUGGGAAAGCUGCCUGACGGAGGGGGAUAACUACUGGAAACGGUAGCUAAUACCGCAUAAUGUCGCAAGACCAAAGAGGGGGACCUUUCGGGCCUCUUGCCAUCGGAUGUGCCCAGAUGGGAUUAGCUUGUUGGUGGGGUAACGGCUCACCAAGGCGACGAUCCCUAGCUGGUCUGAGAGGAUGACCAGCCACACUGGAACUGAGACACGGUCCAGACUCCUACGGGAGGCAGCAGUGGGGAAUAUUGCACAAUGGGCGCAAGCCUGAUGCAGCCAUGCCGCGUGUAUGAAGAAGGCCUUCGGGUUGUAAAGUACUUUCAGCGGGGAGGAAGGGAGUAAAGUUAAUACCUUUGCUCAUUGACGUUACCCGCAGAAGAAGCACCGGCUAACUCCGUGCCAGCAGCCGCGGUAAUACGGAGGGUGCAAGCGUUAAUCGGAAUUACUGGGCGUAAAGCGCACGCAGGCGGUUUGUUAAGUCAGAUGUGAAAUCCCCGGGCUCAACCUGGGAACUGCAUCUGAUACUGGCAAGCUUGAGUCUCGUAGAGGGGGGUAGAAUUCCAGGUGUAGCGGUGAAAUGCGUAGAGAUCUGGAGNGGAAACCGGUGGCGAAGGCGGCCCCCUGGACAAAGACUGACGCUCAGGUGCGAAAGCGUGGGGAGCAAACAGGAUUAGAUACCCUGGUAGUCCACGCCGUAAACGAUGUCGACUUGGAGGUUGUGCCCUUGAGGCGUGGCUACCGGAGCUAACGCGUUAAGUCGACCGCCUNGNNGNGNGANGUACGGCCGCANAGGUUAAAACUCAAAUGAAUUGACGGGGGCCCGCACAAGCGGUGGAGCAUGUGGUUUAAUUCGAUGCAACGCGAAGAACCUUACCUGGUCUUGACAUCCACAGAACUUUCCAGAGAUGGAUUGGUGCCUUCGGGAACUGUGAGACAGGUGCUGCAUGGCUGUCGUCAGCUCGUGUUGUGAAAUGUUGGGUUAAGUCCCGCAACGAGCGCAACCCUUAUCUUUUGUUGCCAGCGGUCCGGCCGGGGAACUCAAAGGAGACUGCGAGUGAUAAACUGGAGGGA
Molecule: ribosomal RNA, 1093 nt
Filed under: uncultured bacterium
Lineage: Bacteria
Also listed under: 3 other names
Description: bacterial SSU rRNA
Rfam family: Bacterial small subunit ribosomal RNA
Source: RNAcentral